RNAcentral lists this ribosomal RNA (484 nucleotides) under uncultured bacterium. RNAcentral's name for it is "partial 16S ribosomal RNA". It matches the Rfam family "Bacterial small subunit ribosomal RNA", at positions 29 to 507 of the family's 1533-position model. The record is from RNAcentral.
AUUGAACGCUGGCGGAAUGCUUUACACAUGCAAGUCGAACGGCAGCACGGGGGCAGCCCUGGUGGCGAGUGGCGAACGGGUGAGUAAUACAUCGGAACGUGCCCGGUCGUGGGGGAUAACGUAGCGAAAGUUACGCUAAUACCGCAUACGAUCUGAGGAUGAAAGCGGGGGACCUUCGGGCCUCGCGCGAUCGGAGCGGCCGAUGUCAGAUUAGGUAGUUGGUGGGGUAAAGGCCUACCAAGCCGACGAUCUGUAGCUGGUCUGAGAGGACGACCAGCCACACUGGGACUGAGACACGGCCCAGACUCCUACGGGAGGCAGCAGUGGGGAAUGUUGGACAAUGGGCGCAAGCCUGAUCCAGCCAUUCCGCGUGCAGGACGAAGGCCUUCGGGUUGUAAACUGCUUUUGUACGGAACGAAAAGGCUCUGGCUAAUACCUGGGGCUCAUGACGGUACCGUAAGAAUAAGCACCGGCUAACUACGUG